GAAAGGGACGGUGACACGGGGCAGAAAGGCAAGGCAAACAGGAACGGCAGUGAUGGGAUGUAAAUAAUUCAUCCAGGCUGAAAACCAAAUUAGAGCCCAGUGGUCGCGGCUGGCCUGGUCCACACAGAAGGAGACUCAUCUUCUGAUACCUGGAAUGUCGGACAGGCAGGACCAUCGGCAGCGUUUCCUGGUUAAUCUGCCCCUGCUGAGGCUGGCUGAGAGGCAGCUGGGUGGCAAGAUGCUCUCCAGCAGCAGCUCUCAAGGCCCAGCUUUGCAGUCGGACUCUGAAGCAUUCGUGGUUCUGUGGGGAUCUCGACAAGCUGAUUUGACAGCAGAAUGGAUACAGGCUCUGCGAUGUGUGUCGUUUCCUGUGCCUAUUGUUCCUGCCAGUACUGCUUGCUAAAUAAGUAAUUAGCAUUUGUGAGAGUCUUCAGAAUGUGAGGCAAGACAAGUUUUAUGGUGAUGAACUAUGAGGGAGUGGGCUUGAAGCAGCUGUGGAGAGCAGGAGAGCUGCAUGCUAAGGUGAGCGGAGCAGCCUGGCUCACCCCAUCUUGCCCUGCAUCCGUGCCGUCCUUCGAGGGGACCCAGCUUCUGCUGACACGGGGAGACCUCUCACAGCAGUCCUGACAGGGAAGGCAAAAGGAAAUAACAUCGCUUUAACUCCCAGAGCCUAGGGAAGGGCCUGUCUUGUCUGCUGUGGUGUGAUCCGCCUCCAAGACACGGCAAGGAGCAUACCCCCAGCCGUCACAGCAGUUCCUUGCAAGCAUCUCGGCCCGCCCUGGGGUCACCUAUUGCUCUACAGCCCCCUGGGCACUUCAGGGUUGCACAGAGCCACUCGAGCAGCAUCACACGCAGCCAGUGCCACUGCCCAGAGCAGCACGUGGGUCCCAACCCCCUGUCCUCCUGCCCAGACAGUGCCGUGGCUUCCAGACCUGGGAAUGGAGCAAUCGCGUGGUCCUCGUGGCUGCAUUUCCCCGUCACAGGGAAGACCGGAGGUGGUUAGAUUGUUUCCCCAAUCGUUAAUUCGGGAGCACCCGGCUUGAGUGAGCCUGCUGCAGGCAGCACAGCAUUCAGUGGUGAUUGGGGUUUUCCCUGCGCUAACCCACAGCAGCAGCCCUGCACCUUCCUCCCAAAGCCACAUUUUGCUGCUGGUUCCAGGUCACCUUCUGUAGCCGGUGCCUGUUGUUAGAGUCAUGUGUACAGAUUUUGGGCCCCG
Long non-coding RNA from Cygnus olor (mute swan), 1216 nucleotides. RefSeq lists it as uncharacterized. The transcript has 4 exons. The record is from RefSeq and is a predicted model, not a curated record. NCBI's taxonomy places the organism in Eukaryota, Metazoa, Chordata, Aves, Anseriformes, Anatidae.